This 1162-nucleotide long non-coding RNA is filed under the name Homo sapiens (human). RNAcentral describes it as "HSALNT0145408". The record is from RNAcentral. Lineage: Eukaryota; Metazoa; Chordata; Mammalia; Primates; Hominidae.
AAUGGGAAAAGAACAAAACGGAAGCCCUUCCAAUACCUGAGUUCAACUACAGUUGGCCAGGAGUGGUGGCUCACACCUGUAAUCCCUUUGGGAGGCUGAGGCAGGAGGAUCCCUUGAGGCCAGGAGUUCAAGACCAGCCUGGUCAACAUAGUGAGACCCCCAUCUCUACAAAAAAAUAUAAAAAAUUAGCAAGAUGUGGUGAUGCAUGCCUACAGUCCCAACUACUUGGGAGGCUAAGGAAAGAGGCUCACUUGAGCCCGGAUGUUCGAGGUUACAUUAGCUGUGAUUGUGCCACUACGCUCCAGCCUGGGCAACAGAAUGAGAUUUCUGCCUCAAAUAAAACUACAGUAAUCAAUAUAGUGUCAUAUUGGUGUAAAGUUAUACACACAAGAAGAAUGGUGUCCAGAACAGACCACUUCUAUGUCACUUCAGUUUUUACAAACCUGUGAAGACUUGGUCAUUGGGAAAGUAGAGUCUCAACAAAUAGAACCGAACCAACCAACCACACAGAUAAAAAAGUGAAUCUUGACCCUUAUCACAUAUGGUACACAAAAAUGAACUCAAAAUGGAUCACAGACUUAAAUGUAAAAGGUAAAACUAUAAAAGUUCCAUAAAAAUAAAAAACAUAGGAAAAAAUCAUGUCCUUUGAGUAGGCAAAUUUCUUAAACUCAAAUUAUUAUAAAAUAUCAUAAAUCAUUAUUAUUAUUAUCUUGGUUUACUGCAACCUCUGCCUCCUGGGUUCAAGUGAUUCUCCUGCCUCAGCCUCCCGAGUAGCAGGGACUACAGGGGUGUGCCACCCGCCCAGAUAAUUUUUGUAUUUUUAGUAGAGACGGGGUUUCACCACGUUGGCCAGGCUGGUCUCAAACUUCUGGCCUCAGGUGAUCUGCCUACCUUGGCCUCCCAAAGUGCUGGGAUUACAGACAUGAGCCACCACACCCAAAUCUUUGAUAAAUUAGGCUUAAUAAAAAAUAUUCAAAAGACACCAUUAAGAAAAUGAACAGGCAAACCAAACAUGAAAAUAUUCACAAUAUUUGUCACAAAUGGAGACAAAGAAUUCUAUAUAUUACAUGUAUGUUUUUCAUGCAGAAUAUGGAAAGAACUUGAGUCAACAAUAAGCAUCCCAACUUAAAAACAGGGAAAUGGCUCGGGGUUCAUACACGAG